Molecule: ribosomal RNA, 371 nt
Filed under: uncultured eukaryote
Lineage: Eukaryota
Description: SSU rRNA
Rfam family: Eukaryotic small subunit ribosomal RNA
Source: RNAcentral
CCAGCAGCCGCGGUAAUUCCAGCUCCAAUAGCGUAUAUUAAAGUUGUUGCAGUUAAAAAGCUCGUAGUUGAACUUUGGGCCCGGUUGGCCGGUCCGAUUUUUUCGUGUACUGGAUUUCCAACGGGGCCUUUCCUUCUGGCUAACCUUGAGUCCUUGUGGCUCUUGGCGAACCAGGACUUUUACUUUGAAAAAAUUAGAGUGUUCAAAGCAGGCGUAUUGCUCGAAUAUAUUAGCAUGGAAUAAUAGAAUAGGACGUUUGGUUCUAUUUUGUUGGUUUCUAGGACCAUCGUAAUGAUUAAUAGGGACGGUCGGGGGCAUCAGUAUUCAAUUGUCAGAGGUGAAAUUCUUGGAUUUAUUGAAGACUAACUACU